Molecule: ribosomal RNA, 463 nt
Filed under: uncultured bacterium
Lineage: Bacteria
Description: partial 16S ribosomal RNA
Rfam family: Bacterial small subunit ribosomal RNA
Source: RNAcentral
GAUGAACGCUGACAGAAUGCUUAACACAUGCAAGUCGAUGGGGACGUGGUGCUUGCACCAUGGCAACCAUGGCGGACGGGUGAGUAACGCGUAAGGGACUUACCUGCAGGACUGGGAUAACAGGGGGAAACUCCUGACAAGACCGGAUAAUGUCAUGGAGCUGCAUGGCUUUAUGAUGAAAGGAGACGCCUGCGGAGAGCCUUGCGUCCUAUUAGCUAGUUGGUGAGGUAAUGGCUCACCAAGGCGAAGAUAGGUAGCCGGCCUGAGAGGGUGGACGGCCACAAGGGGACUGAGAUACGGCCCUUACUCCUACGGGAGGCAGCAGUGGGGAAUAUUGGACAAUGGGGGCAACCCUGAUCCAGCAAUUCUGUGUGCACGAAGAAGGUUUUCGGAUUGUAAAGUGCUUUCAGCAGGGAAGAAGUAAGUGACGGUACCUGCAGAAGAAGCGACGGCUAAAUACGUG